CAAUGCAGUCUGCAUGGUAUCUUUUGUUGGCUUGACAUCAAACAAAUUCUGUCUUUUCUUUGAGAAUUUGGAUAUAUGAUUCAUCUGAGAAACAAAUCUGCAAAAAAUAUUUUCUUAGUAAUCUAUUUAUUUCUUCAUAUUUUGUUAAUGUUUUUAUGUUCUACCUACCUUGCCCCAGUCUUCUUCUAUCCAAUGUCAGUAGUUUUUAGCAAAAGUCAUUCGUUUUGCUUCAUUAGGAGCAUCAAUUUGGAUUUCUUUAAUGGCCGGCAACAUUUGAAUUCCAUUUCUGCAAACUUUCUUCUCAAAGUUCUUUCAGAUAAAAAGAUUGUGAGGAGUCGGAGUUGGAUUUUCCGUACCUGGUGUGGGCGGCCAUGUUGAAGUGGAUGGACUUAAUUAAGU
Molecule: long non-coding RNA, 399 nt
Filed under: Androctonus crassicauda
Lineage: Eukaryota; Metazoa; Arthropoda; Arachnida; Scorpiones; Buthidae
Source: RNAcentral